GUUGAAUACUAUCUUAGGCAUAAUAAUGCUAUGAUAUGAAUUAAACUUUCAUACUUCUUUUGAAUACUGCUAUAUGAUUUCGGAAAGAGAAAAUCAGGAAAAAAAAUUGAAGUGACUUAUCACAUAAAAAUAGAAGAGGAGCAGACUAUUCCUAGGUAGGUGUAAGCCAAAAUAAAUGCUAAUAAUGAUGAAAAAUUAAAAAGUAGAUUAAAUCAUACAAUCACAUUGGGACCGCAUGUCUUCUGCGUAUGGAAAGGGAUAAUCUACCUACUCUGCUCAAAAAUCCAAAACAACUCAAUUCUCUCUCAUCUUAAUUUUCGGAAAUGACAGUAAUAGUAAUAAAUGAAUUAAAUUGCUUUGACUGAGAUAAUAUUCAGCACUUAAGAGCCUCUCUUCUCAAAACCGAAAUAUUCGGUCCAAUCAUCCUACCUCCUUUCUCUUCGAUUUUAUUUUUAAAAAAAGAAAUGUUUUGAUUUAAAUAUUAAUUGAUAUGAAACUGAAAAUGGCCAGAAUAAAUGAUAGUAGGAAUAAAUUCUUUUCCCAAAAAUCUCGCAUAUUUACUCUCCUUUUUUUCCAGAUUGGUUCUCUCACUCAGUUCUCUUUCUCUCCAGUCUAACACAAUGACCCCCUUUUCUCACCUCUGUUUCUUUCACUCUCAAACACAACAUAACAUGAAGAUACAAUCCGAUUUUUGUUCUGAAUCCAAAUUCCCUUAUUGAUUCUAACACAGAAUCAUUCAAAUACAAUAGAUCUACACAAAUUUGACUAAAUCUUAACCAACCUAAAACAGCAAAACUUCAGAUGAUUCAAGGCAAUAUAGUGAAUAUUAAGACGAGGUAACACACAUGCGAUGAAAUACAUGUAUAGUGGGGAAAAUGAGAUGAAACAAAGCUCGUCGGAAAACGAAGUUUCCGGCAAGGUUACCGGCAGUGAGAUCUGACCUUGAGGUAUGUUGCUUCCGUUCUGUUUUCUGGAGUCCUAUUCUUCUUCUAACUUCUUUGAAUCGGUUUGUCUUGGUUUGACUGUGGCUUAGUUCAGUUUUCUCAAAGUUCUAAUGAUGAACUCUGAGUAAACUUUGGGAGUAUUUGAGCUUUGGUGAUUGGGUGUGAGUGAAAUUCCAGCAGAGUAACGAUUACAACUCUGAAAUGACCUGCUGGAAUGGAAGGUGGCCGCUCCAAGCAUCAAGACAACAUGUUUUCAUGACUAAGUCCAAAGUGAUUUCACCCUAAUUGCUUGGUUUUGGUUAUUAGGAACCUAUUUCCAUCUGUAGCAAUUUUUCACUAUAAUUACUUAGUUUAGUUUUUUUUAGACAAAAUGUGUGUUGGAUUAUUUGGGACUUAUUGAAUUAAAUUUUAAUUAUGUAAUUACCUUUUUAA
Long non-coding RNA from Lathyrus oleraceus (garden pea), 1376 nucleotides. RefSeq lists it as uncharacterized. The record is from RefSeq and is a predicted model, not a curated record. The transcript has 2 exons. Lineage: Eukaryota; Viridiplantae; Streptophyta; Magnoliopsida; Fabales; Fabaceae.